This 460-nucleotide ribosomal RNA is filed under the name uncultured bacterium. RNAcentral's name for it is "partial 16S ribosomal RNA". It matches the Rfam family "Bacterial small subunit ribosomal RNA", at positions 338 to 795 of the family's 1533-position model. The record is from RNAcentral.
CCUACGAGAGGCAGCAGUGAGGAAUAUUGGUCAAUGGGCGCGAGCCUGAACCAGCCAAGUAGCGUGAAGGCUGACUGCCCUACGGGUUGUAAACUUCUUUUAUAAAGGAAUAAAGUGAGGCACGUGUGCCUUUUUGUAUGUCCUUUAUGAAUAAGGAUCGGCUCACUCCGUUCCAGCCGCAGCGGUAAUACGGCGGAUCCGAGCGUUAUCCGGCUUUAUUGGGUUUAAAGGGAGCGUAGAUGGGUUGUUAAGUCAUUUGUGAAAGUGUGCGGCUCAACCGUAAAAUUGCAAUUGAUACUGGCAGUCUUGAGUACAGUUGAGGUAGGCGGAAUUCGUGGUGUAGCGGUGAAAUGCUUAGAUAUCACGAAGAACUCCGAUUGCGAAGGCAGCUUACUAAACUGCCACUGACAUUGAUGCUCGAAAGUGUGGGUAUCAAACAGGAUUAGAUACCCCGGUAGUC